AACGAACGCUGGCGGCAUGCCUAACACAUGCAAGUCGAACGAGACCUUCGGGUCUAGUGGCGCACGGGGGCGUAACGCGUGGGAACCUUCCCUUAGGUUCGGAAUAACUCCCCGAAAGGGGUGCUAAUACCGGAUAAUGUCUUCGGACCAAAGAUUUAUCGCCUUUGGAUGGGCCCGCGUUGGAUUAGCUAGUUGGUAGGGUAAAAGCCUACCAAGGCGACGAUCCAUAGCUGGUCUGAGAGGAUGAUCAGCCACACUGGGACUGAGACACGGCCCAGAAUCCUACGGGAGGCAGCAGUGGGGAAUAUUGGACAAUGGGCGAAAGCCUGAUCCAGCAAUGCCGCGUGAGUGAUGAAGGCAUUAGGGUUGUAAAGCUCUUUUACCCGGGAUGAUAAUGACAGUACCGGGAGAAUAAGCCCCGGCUAACUACGUG
RNAcentral lists this ribosomal RNA (433 nucleotides) under uncultured bacterium. RNAcentral's name for it is "partial 16S ribosomal RNA". It matches the Rfam family "Bacterial small subunit ribosomal RNA", at positions 29 to 507 of the family's 1533-position model. The record is from RNAcentral.